CUACGAGUUUGAUCAUGGCNCAGGAUGAAACGCUAGCGGCAGGCUUAAUACAUGCAAGUCGAGGGGCAGCACGAAUAGCAAUAUUUGGUGGCGACCGGCGCACGGGUGCGUAACACGUAUACAACCUACCUAUAACAGGGGGAUAGCCUUUCGAAAGAGAGAUUAAUACCCCGUAAUAAAUUGAGUGGCAUCUUUUUGAUAUUAAAAACUCCGGUGGUAUAAGAUGAGUGUGCGUCUGAUUAGCUAGUUGGUGGGGUAACGGCUCACCAAGGCAACGAUCAGUAGCUGGUCUGAGAGGAUGAUCAGCCACACGGGCACUGAGACACGGGCCCGACUCCUACGGGAGGCAGCAGUAGGGAAUAUUGGACAAUGGGCGCAAGCCUGAUCCAGCCAUCCCGCGUGAAGGAUUAAGGCCCUCUGGGUUGUAAACUUCUUUUCUUUGGGAAUAAAAACUCCGUUUCUACGGAGCUUGAAGGUACCAGAGGAAUAAGCACCGGCUAACUCCGUG
Molecule: ribosomal RNA, 508 nt
Filed under: uncultured bacterium
Lineage: Bacteria
Description: bacterial SSU rRNA
Rfam family: Bacterial small subunit ribosomal RNA
Source: RNAcentral